AGAUAUUUCCUGAUAUAUUCCGCUAUAUCCCGCUAUCGGUUGAGACUUUUAAUCAGUAGGUCGCUGGUUCGAAUCCAGCAGGGCUCACCA
This 90-nucleotide transfer RNA is filed under the name Sphingosinicella soli. RNAcentral's name for it is "tRNA-Lys". The record is from RNAcentral. Lineage: Bacteria; Pseudomonadati; Pseudomonadota; Alphaproteobacteria; Sphingomonadales; Sphingosinicellaceae.